CCGACGCGUAGCACCACAACGGUAGCAGCCACGGGUGGUGGAAGGGCACGUCGCCGCCGCUCAGGAAGAACAGACGGCAGAACUUGCUCAGGAACAGCAGCAGCGGGAUGAAGUGCGUCCAGAAGUUGAGCGUCUCGUUGGACUUCUAUUUGGAACUGAGUCCGACAGCUCAGGACUGGCUGCUCAAACUCCACAAUUUAAUGAAAAAUCUCAGAUGAUGACUCAGAAAACCUCUAAUGAUCUGAGGAAUAUAUUAAGGGAUUCCAGAGUCAAAGGCUGAUCAUGGAGGGCAUUGAUGAGGGAAGACUUCAGGUGGCUGGAGACCAGAAGAAAGGAACACUGGAAGAAUGAAAACGGUUGUGAUGCACUGCAGUGUG
This 377-nucleotide long non-coding RNA is filed under the name Homo sapiens (human). Its description in RNAcentral is "PAQR9 antisense RNA 1". The record is from RNAcentral. Lineage: Eukaryota; Metazoa; Chordata; Mammalia; Primates; Hominidae.